GGCAUUGACUUCCCUGAUGUCGUCGUGCUCCCUGAUGCCAGCUCCUCCUUCCUCCCGUCGCUGGACAUGCACAACACCAUCCCAUGCCCUCUGUCCGCUGGCCAGAGAAAGGCAUCAGUGAGAAAUAUGGAUGAUGCACGCGAACGGAUUGGCACUCCCAUCUCCACUGCACUGAAGGAGAUCAAGCCCAUUUCCAUCAGCAUCAACUAGAACCUCCCCUCGACCUGCAUCCUUGCCUUUCUUUUGUAUCUCCCCAAGGUAAAUUGUGCAACCUAUUGCCGCUCUGCCAUGGGUCACAUGGUCGUCCUUCAUACACCGCUUUACUAGGACUAACGCUGAAGUACAGAUGAUGGUGUAUGUAAGUUUUCACUAUUUCCUCAGUUUUUGUUUUUCCACAGUUUUCUAACUGGGGUCCUCACACAUUUUUUGUGUGUGUACAUUACGGGCCACCUAGAAAAUUCCAAAAGAAGUUGCCUCUUGUUUGGACACCCCGAAGCAUGGGCUGGCAAGACUAAGAUUGGGCAAAGAGAGCUUCAGGAGGACCGUUUAUGACACCUCACUCGACGGUUUAUUCUUCAAGCAAGGAUGGAAGAAGUUCCUCACGAGACAUGACAUGAGAUUAGCACUGCUAUACUAAUUACAUUUAAGACUGUUGCCAACAAUGAGUUGGAGAUUAUAGUCAUCCUUUUAUGUCCUUUGAGAAGAUCAUGUUGGACAAGUUCCAGGCUUUCAUGAGUUAUUUAGUCAUUUCUCAGCGUUUUUUAAACCAUGGAGGAGAACUGCAUGUGAACUUCAUAGAUACGAGAAGAAAAGAAUAAAGGCAUGUAAAAAGUUCAAUUCAUUUUCUGUUUAUUUUGUUUCCUCUUUCUCUACGUACUGGUUUUUGAACUGUGGUUUGUGAAUCGGAUGUAUAUAUUCAUGUUUUA
Long non-coding RNA from Triticum dicoccoides, 926 nucleotides. RefSeq lists it as uncharacterized. Lineage: Eukaryota; Viridiplantae; Streptophyta; Magnoliopsida; Poales; Poaceae. The transcript is spliced from 3 exons. The record is from RefSeq and is a predicted model, not a curated record.